This 515-nucleotide ribosomal RNA is filed under the name uncultured bacterium. Its description in RNAcentral is "partial 16S ribosomal RNA". It matches the Rfam family "Bacterial small subunit ribosomal RNA", at positions 28 to 523 of the family's 1533-position model. The record is from RNAcentral.
GAUGAACGCUGGCGGCGUGCCUAAUACAUGCAAGUCGAGCGAAUGGAUUAAGAGCUUGCUCUUAUGAAGUUAGCGGCGGACGGGUGAGUAACACGUGGGUAACCUGCCCAUAAGACUGGGAUAACUCCGGGAAACCGGGGCUAAUACCGGAUAACAUUUUGAACCGCAUGGUUCGAAAUUGAAAGGCGGCCUCGGCUGUCACUUAUGGAUGGACCCGCGUCGCAUUAGCUAGUUGGUGAGGUAACGGCUCACCAAGGCAACGAUGCGUAGCCGACCUGAGAGGGUGAUCGGCCACACUGGGACUGAGACACGGCCCAGACUCCUACGGGAGGCAGCAGUAGGGAAUCUUCCGCAAUGGACGAAAGUCUGACGGAGCAACGCCGCGUGAGUGAUGAAGGCUUUCGGGUCGUAAAACUCUGUUGUUAGGGAAGAACAAGUGCUAGUUGAAUAAGCUGGCACCUUGACGGUACCUAACCAGAAAGCCACGGCUAACUACGUGCCAGCCGCCGCAGUAA